RNAcentral lists this transfer RNA (68 nucleotides) under Marmota monax (woodchuck). Its description in RNAcentral is "tRNA.Ala". The record is from RNAcentral. Lineage: Eukaryota; Metazoa; Chordata; Mammalia; Rodentia; Sciuridae.
GUGGUGGCUCAGUGGUAGAGUGCACCCCUAGCAUGCAUGGGGCACUGGGUUCGAUCCUCGGCACCACA